RNAcentral lists this ribosomal RNA (217 nucleotides) under uncultured bacterium. RNAcentral's name for it is "partial 16S ribosomal RNA". It matches the Rfam family "Bacterial small subunit ribosomal RNA", at positions 582 to 793 of the family's 1533-position model. The record is from RNAcentral.
GUUAAGUCAGAUGUGAAAGCCCGGGGCGUUAACCUCGGAAUUGCAUUUGAAACUAGGCAGGCUAGAGUCUUGUAGAGGGGGGUAGGAAGUUUCAGGUGUAGCGGUGAAAUGCGUAGAGAUCUGAAGGAAUACCAGUGGCGAAGGCGGCCCCCUCGGACAAAGACUGACGCUCAGAUGCGAAAGCGUGGGGAGCAAACAGGAUUAGAUACCCUGGUAG